RNAcentral lists this non-coding RNA (483 nucleotides) under Microbacterium sp. SUBG005. Its description in RNAcentral is "bacterial LSU rRNA". It matches the Rfam family "Bacterial large subunit ribosomal RNA", at positions 1683 to 2153 of the family's 2925-position model. Lineage: Bacteria; Bacillati; Actinomycetota; Actinomycetes; Micrococcales; Microbacteriaceae. The record is from RNAcentral.
AAGGAGAUCGAGAGAAUCGUGGUUAAGGAACUCGGCAAAAUGCCCCCCGUAACUUCGGGAGAAGGGGGGCCAUCCACUUACUAGGACUUGCUCCGAAAGGGUGUGGUGGCCGCAGAGACUAGUGGGUAGCGACUGUUUACUAAAAACAGUCCGUGCCAAGUCGCAAGACGAUGUAUACGGACUGACGCCUGCCCGGUGCUGGAAGGUUAAGAGGACCGGUUAGCCGCAAGGCGAAGCUGAGAAUUUAAGCCCCAGUAAACGGCGGUGGUAACUAUAACCAUCCUAAGGUAGCGAAAUUCCUUGUCGGGUAAGUUCCGACCUGCACGAAUGGCGUAACGACUUCCCAACUGUCUCAACCGCGAACUCGGCGAAAUUGCAUUACGAGUAAAGAUGCUCGUUACGCGCAGCAGGACGGAAAGACCCCGUGACUUUACUACAGCUUGGUAUUGGUGUUCGGUGUGGCUUGUGUAGGAUAGGUGGGAG